RNAcentral lists this ribosomal RNA (1207 nucleotides) under Rhipicephalus microplus (southern cattle tick). Its description in RNAcentral is "16S ribosomal RNA". Lineage: Eukaryota; Metazoa; Arthropoda; Arachnida; Ixodida; Ixodidae. The record is from RNAcentral.
AUAAUAAAAUUAAAAUAAUUUAAUCAAUUUAAUAAAUUUAUUUUAUUUUUAUUUUAUUUUUAAUAAACUGAAAAGGAAUUUAUUAUUAUAAUUUAAUAGAAAAAUUAAUGUACCUUUUGCAUUAGGGGUUUUUAAAAAAAAAUAAAAUUUUAUUUUUCUCGAAAUAUUUUGAGCUAAAAUUUAAUUUUUCUAAUGUUUCAAUAUUAAAAUAAAAUAAAUUUUAGAGGUGAAAUUCUUAUCAAAAAAUAUAAUAUCUAGUUAAAAAAAAUUAAUUAAAUAUUAUUUUGUAAAUAUUAAUUUAUUUUUUAAAACUACAAAAAAAAGUUUUUGGGAUAAGCUAAAAAUUAUUAAAUUUAUAAUAUUUUAAAAAAUAAUAAAAGAAUUAAAAUUUUUCUAUUUAUUUUUAUAAAUAAAUUAAGUUAAAUUGAAAUAAAAGAAUUUAUUUUUUUAAAUUAAAUUUAAUUAAAAAUUUAAAAAAAAAUGAAAAUAUUAGUAAAAAAUUUUUUUUUGUAAUUAUUAAUAAUUAAUUAAAAAUUAAUUUAAUUUAAUUUAAUUUUUAAGAACUAGGCAAUUAUUUUUUUUGACUGUUUAAUAAAAACAACGCAUUUAGAUAAACAAUAAAUGCAAAUCCUGCUCAAUGAAAUUUUUUUUAAAUUGCUGUAGUAUUUUGACUAUACAAAGGUAUUGAAAUAAGAUUUUAAUUGAAUGCUAAGAGAAUGGAAUAUCAAAAAACAACUUUCUUAAAAUUAAAAAUUGAAAUUUUUUUAAUUUGUGUAAAAACAAUUAUAAAAAUUAAAGACAAGAAGACCCUAAGAAUUUUUAAAAUUUAAAUAAUACAUUUUUUGUUUUAAUUAAAUUUUAACUGGGGCGGUUAAAAAAUAUUAAAAACUUUUUAAUUUAAAAAUGACCCAUUAUUAAUGAAAAUAUGAUUAAAUACUCUAGGGAUAACAGCGUUAUAUUUUUUGAUAGAUCAUAUUGACAAAAAAGUUUGCGACCUCGAUGUUGGAUUAGGAUACUUUUUUAAUGAAGAUAUUAAAAUAAGAAGUUUGUUCAACUUUUAAAUUCCUACAUGAUCUGAGUUUAGACCGAUGAGAAUCAGGUUGGAUUCUAUCUUAAUAAAAAACAAAUUUUAUUUAGUACGAAAGGAAUUUUAAAAUCUAAUUUUUAGUUUUAUUUAUUUAUUUUAUUUGCAUCAAUUUUUGUAAUU